AUGUCGAUGGCGGUGGCCUCGCUCCGCUUCCUCGCGCGCCGCCGGCACCAGCUCCGGCUCGCCGUCCCCGGCACGCGGGCCGCAUUCCUCUCCGACACGGCGGAGGAGGCCUCGCAGGCGGCGCCGCCGCCGCCGGGCCGUAAGGUGCUGGAGAGCUUCCGCGAGGAGUUCGAGAUCGGGGGUCGCCUCAUCGCCUUCGAGACCGGGAAGAUGGCGCGCUUCGCCAACGGCUCCGUGGUCAUCUCCAUGGAGGAAACCAACGUCCUCUCCACCGUCGCCGCCGCCAAGUCCUCGGACCCCGUCCGGGACUUCCUCCCUCUAACCGUUGAUUAUCAAGAGAAGCAAUAUGCUCAAGGUGUUAUUCCCACAACAUAUAUGCGCAGGGAAGGUGCCCCUAAGGAAAGAGAACUUCUGUGUGGGCGCAUAAUCGAUCGACCAAUACGGCCAUUGUUUCCUCGUGGCUUUUACCAUGAAGUCCAGAUCACGGUAAAUGUACUUUCCUCAGAUGGAAAGCAGGACCCGGAUGUUAUGGCUGCUAAUGCAUCUUCAGCUGCUCUCAUGCUUUCUGAUGUACCUUGGGAUGGGCCAAUUGGAGUAAUACGUGUUGGAAGAAUUGAUGGGAAUUUUGUGUUGAACCCAACAGUGGAUGAGUUAGGUUUGAGUGAUCUCAAUCUAGUUUAUGCAUGCUCACGGGAUAAAACACUAAUGAUAGAUGUACAAGCUCGUGAGAUAACUGAAAGGGAUCUUCAAGCAGGAAUGAAGCUUGCGCACUCUGAGGCAGUCAAGUAUAUCGACCCUCAAAUUAGAUUGGCCAAGCGAGCUGGCAAAGAGAAAAGAGAGUACAAGCUGUCAAUGAUUUCAGAUGAAAACUACGAGAAAAUCAGAACAUUAUCAGAAGCACCAAUUGAGGAAGUCUUCACAGAUAAAUCAUACGGCAAGUUUGAGCGUGGAGAAGCCCUGCAAAAAAUCACAGAAUCUGUAAAAGAGAAGCUUGAAGAAGAAUGUGACGAGGAAAGCUUGAAGUUUCUUCCUAAAGCAGUUGAUACUGUGAGAAAGCAGGUCAUACGCAAGAGAAUAAUUAAAGAAGGUCUUAGAGUCGAUGGUAGACGACUUGAUGAGGUGCGGCCGUUGUACUGCGAAUCAAGCACAUACCCGAUAUUGCAUGGUUCUGCACUGUUUUCACGUGGAGAUACUCAGGUUUUAUGUACAGUUACCCUUGGUGCUCCUGGUGAUGCCCAGCGAUUGGAUUCAAUUGUUGGCCCACCAACAAAGCGUUUCAUGCUUCAUUAUAGUUUUCCACCAUUUUCAAUAAACGAAGUUGCCAAACGUGGGGGUUUGAAUCGACGUGAAGUUGGACAUGGCACUCUUGCCGAGAAAGCACUACUUGCUGUGCUUCCUCCAGAAGGUGACUUUCCAUAUACUGUUCGGGUAAAUUCAGAAGUCAUGGCCUCUGAUGGUUCAACAUCAAUGGCAUCAGUAUGUGGAGGAAGCAUGGCUUUAAUGGAUGCUGGGAUACCUGUAAGGGAGCAUGUUGCUGGUGUUUCAGUGGGUCUUGUCAGUGAAACAGACCCAACUACUGGAGAUAUUUCUAGUUACCGUAUAUUAACGGAUAUUUUAGGUCUUGAGGAUCACUUGGGUGACAUGGACUUCAAAAUUGCAGGAACAAGGAGAGGUAUUACUGCUAUUCAGCUGGAUAUAAAACCUGCUGGAAUACCAUUGGACAUAGUAUGUGAAAGUUUGGAGCCUGCACGAAAGGCUCGUAAUCAAAUCCUUGAUCGCAUGGAUCAGGAAAUAAGUUCUGCUCGUGCUAUCAAUGAUGGAAGUUCUCCUCGAUUAGCCACACUGAGCUUCAGCAGUGAUUCUCUUAGGAAAUUGCUUUUCCACAGGAAAAAAAUUGAGCAAGAUACAGGUGCACGGGUAUCUGUUAGUGAUGGUACAGUCACUAUUGUUGCUAAAACUCAGCCAAUUAUGGAUAAGGCUAUUGAGAAGGUUGAAUUUCUUGUGGGUCGUGAAAUUGAAGUUGGCAAGACAUACAAAGGAAUUGUUUCCUCAAUAAAGGAGUAUGGCGCUUUUGUGGAUUUCAAUGGCGGACAGCAAGGUCUUCUUCACAUUUCUGAGCUAUCACAUGAACCGGUUUCAAAAGUCACGGAUAUUAUAUCGGUUGGUCAAGCGCUCUCAUUGACAUGCAUUGGACAGGACGUGAGGGGUAAUAUUAAACUUUCACUCAAAGCAAACCUACCCCAUCCCCAUCGGCCUGAAAAGGAGUUAGCAAGUGAGGAUGCUACUCUUUUGCCAAAUCAAGACGUUGUUGGUUGUUCUGCCGUGGAGAACAUGCCCAGCAAGGAUGCUGAAGUCAAGUCAUCCAAUAGCAAAGAUGAAGAUGACACAACUGAGGAAACGCCUGCAUUUCCUACUCCUACAGUUAUAAUUCGCAGUGCUGCUGACUGCGAUGCUCAAGAUGUUGCAGAUGGUCCUACUAAGAAACGUUCAAAGGCGGCAAGUUCUAAGGUUGCAAAGCCAUCCCCUAGAGCAUCUAAACCAACCAAAGAACAGCAGGAGGCUAGGAAAGCUACCCCUAAGAAAGCAUCAACUACGUCAACUGCCAAGAAAAUUAAGAAAGAAAAGGCUGAUGAUUCUGCAAGUAAUGGGCUUGAUAAAGGGAAGAAGGCUGAUGAUUCUGCAAGUAAUGUGCUCGAUGCCAUUCCAGAAAAGGAAAUAAGCAACACCCUGAAGCAUCCGAGUCCCAAGAACUUCCGCUCAGGUUCUAUAAAGCUGGGCGAUGUAGUCACUGCAAAGGUCUACCAAAUACGGGCCUAUGGGUUAGUACUUGAGCUGAGUGAUGGAGUUCGUGGAAUGCACAAGUUUGUGGAAAAUAGCCAAAACAACUUUGAGGUUGGAGAGGAAGUGCUUGUGAAAUGCGAUACUUUCAGUGCCAAGGGUGUCCCAGUCUUCUCAUUGCUUGAUUAG
Molecule: ribosomal RNA, 2967 nt
Filed under: Triticum aestivum (bread wheat)
Lineage: Eukaryota; Viridiplantae; Streptophyta; Magnoliopsida; Poales; Poaceae
Description: partial small subunit ribosomal RNA
Source: RNAcentral